RNAcentral lists this ribosomal RNA (1052 nucleotides) under uncultured bacterium. RNAcentral describes it as "bacterial SSU rRNA". It matches the Rfam family "Bacterial small subunit ribosomal RNA", at positions 60 to 1111 of the family's 1533-position model. The record is from RNAcentral.
AGUCGAACGGUAACGCGGGGGCAACCCUGGCGACGAGUGGCGAACGGGUGAGUAAUACAUCGGAACAUAUCCAGUAGCGGGGGAUAACCUACCGAAAGAUUGGCUAAUACCGCAUACGAUCUACGGAUGAAAGCAGGGGACCGCAAGGCCUUGCACUAUUGGAGUGGCCGAUGUCAGAUUAGCUAGUUGGUGGGGUAAAAGCCUACCAAGGCGACGAUCUGUAGCUGGUCUGAGAGGACGAUCAGCCACACUGGAACUGAGACACGGUCCAGACUCCUACGGGAGGCAGCAGUGGGGAAUUUUGGACAAUGGGCGCAAGCCUGAUCCAGCCAUGCCGCGUGAGUGAAGAAGGCCUUCGGGUUGUAAAGCUCUUUCGGUGAAGACGAAACGGUUAGCGCUAAUAACGCUGACUAAUGACGGUACUCACAGAAGAAGCACCGGCUAACUACGUGCCAGCAGCCGCGGUAAUACGUAGGGUGCAGGCGUUAAUCGGAAUUACUGGGCGUAAAGCGUGCGCAGGCGGUUUGCUAAGACAGGUGUGAAAUCCCCGGGCUUAACCUGGGAAUUGCGCUUGUAACUGGCAAGCUAGAGUGUAGCAGAGGGGGGUGGAAUUCCACGUGUAGCAGUGAAAUGCGUAGAUAUGUGGAGGAACACCGAUGGCGAAGGCAGCCCCCUGGGUUAACACUGACGCUCAGGCACGAAAGCGUGGGGAGCAAACAGGAUUAGAUACCCUGGUAGUCCACGCCCUAAACUAUGUCAACUAGUUGUCGGGGAAGAAAUUCCUUGGUAACGAAGCUAACGCGUGAAGUUGACCGCCUGGGGAGUACGGCCGCAGGUUAAAACUCAAAGGAAUUGACGGGGACCCGCACAAGCGGUGGAUUAUGUGGAUUAAUUCGAUGCACGCGAAAACCUUACCUACCCUUGACAUGCUAGGAAGUCCGCAGAGAUGUGGACGUGCCCGAAAGGAAACCUAGACACAGUGCUGCAUGGCUGUCGUCAGCUCGUGUCGUGAGAUGUUGGGUAAAGUCCCGCACGAGCGCAACCCUUGCCAU